CUGGGGAUGUAGCUUAGUGGUAGACUGCUUGCCUAGCAUGCAUAAAGCCCUGGGUUCAGUCCCCAAUUCCCAGU
This 74-nucleotide transfer RNA is filed under the name Marmota monax (woodchuck). RNAcentral's name for it is "tRNA.Ala". The record is from RNAcentral. Lineage: Eukaryota; Metazoa; Chordata; Mammalia; Rodentia; Sciuridae.